GAUGAAGAACGUAGCGAAAUGCGAUAAGUAGUGUGAAUUGCAGAAUUCAGUGAAUCAUCGAAUCUUUGAACGCACAUUGCGCCUCCUGGCAUUCCGGGAGGCAUGCCUGUUCGAGCGUCAUCAAACCCCAUCGUGCAAAUGAAUUAUUUUUUUUUGCGCGGAAGUGACGAUUGAGCGAGAAUAACAAAUCCUCUCGCACCUCGUCGAAAUGAUUGCGGGCGGAAUUUGGGAUCGGGUUCCUCGGCGUAGUGUAUCAAUGCAUAUUUAUGCAACUUGCCGCGGAGUUGAGCCUGACCCACGCGUUCUCGCCGUACAAACACCUCAUUACUUUACAAGUUUUUGACCUCGGAUCAGGUAGGGAUACCCGCUGAACUUAAGCAUAUCAAUAAGCGGAGGA
RNAcentral lists this unclassified non-coding RNA (397 nucleotides) under soil metagenome. RNAcentral's name for it is "partial contains 5.8S ribosomal RNA, internal transcribed spacer 2, and large subunit ribosomal RNA". The stretch from base 1 to 120 matches the Rfam family "5.8S ribosomal RNA", at positions 35 to 154 of the family's 154-position model. The record is from RNAcentral.